RNAcentral lists this ribosomal RNA (98 nucleotides) under uncultured bacterium. Its description in RNAcentral is "partial 16S ribosomal RNA". It matches the Rfam family "Bacterial small subunit ribosomal RNA", at positions 1386 to 1482 of the family's 1533-position model. The record is from RNAcentral.
CACACCGCCCCGUCACACCAUGGAAGUCUGUUGCACCAGAAGUCGGUAGUCUAACCGCAAGGAGGGCGCCGACCACGGUGUGGCCGAUGACUGGGGUG